GAUGAACGCUGGCGGCGUGCCUAAUACAUGCAAGUCGAGCGAACGGACGAGAAGCUUGCUUCUCUGAUGUUAGCGGCGGACGGGUGAGUAACACGUGGAUAACCUACCUAUAAGACUGGGAUAACUUCGGGAAACCGUAGCUAAUACCGGAUAAUAUUUUGAACCGCAUGGUUCAAAAGUGAAAGACGGUCUUGCUGUCACUUAUAGAUGGAUCCGCGCUGCAUUAGCUAGUUGGUAAGGUAACGGCUUACCAAGGCAACGAUGCAUAGCCGACCUGAGAGGGUGAGCGGCCACACUGGAACGGAGACACGGUCCAGACUCCUACGGGAGGCAGCAGUAGGGAAUCUUCCGCAAUGGGCGAAAGCCUGACGGAGCAACGCCGCGUGAGUGAUGAAGGUCUUCGGAUCGUAAAACUCUGUUAUUAGGGAAGAACAUAUGUGUAAGUAACUGUGCACAUCUUGACGGUAACUAAUCAGAAAGCCACGGCUAACUACGUG
RNAcentral lists this ribosomal RNA (497 nucleotides) under uncultured bacterium. RNAcentral describes it as "partial 16S ribosomal RNA". It matches the Rfam family "Bacterial small subunit ribosomal RNA", at positions 28 to 507 of the family's 1533-position model. The record is from RNAcentral.